This 1308-nucleotide unclassified non-coding RNA is filed under the name Hevea brasiliensis (rubber tree). The record is from RNAcentral. Lineage: Eukaryota; Viridiplantae; Streptophyta; Magnoliopsida; Malpighiales; Euphorbiaceae.
GUCCCACUGUUGUCCACAUCAGCCUGAAAUUUACAAUACAUAGCUCAGCUGAUUGAACCCAAUGUAACAAACAUGCGUGUAGUUGUUCUUAUAAUAACAACAAUAAAAAAAACUGCAUAUAUUAUUGCCAGUCUUGCACCAAAGCAUAAACAAAAUCACAGCAACUAGACUGAAAAAAGAAUCCAGACCAUUCUUUUAUUUUUGAAGUAUAAAUAUCCUACGCAUGAACUCUGAUAUUGAAGAGGGUAACAAAAAGGCUCUUCAACUUAAAAGUUGUAUGCAAAGAUAGAACGGAAAUGGAUAGACGAAAAUGUGAUUGAAACAAACUAAAAACAAGAUGGAGUACGUACGUGGAACCUUGCAACGGAGCCGCGAACUCAUAAAAAUUCUAUAGCAUAUCAAACUAUGCACAACAGAGGAAAGAUGCAAUACAAAAUCAAAGCAAGGGAAGCCAUUCAAGUUAUGAAUGUGAAUCUAUUCUUUUUUUUUUCUAAUUACAUACAACCUUUAUUUUAUUUUUUUCUUUCUUGAAGUGUGCUCUCUUUCCCUUCCAGAUCUUUGUUUGAAUGUUACGCGCUUGUUUAAUUGAUUAUUCUCCAUUUUCUGUUUUUAUCAGGAUACAAAAUUACAAAUGUAGUUCUCUCAAAUUAAAAUUUGCUUUUUAUGAUCAAAUUCAAGAGAUUCUGUUAAUCAAUUAAUCUAUACAAUAUAAUGGGAUGAAGGUGUUGAUCACUUCUGAUCUCUGAACGAAGUAACAAAACAUUAUCCUAAGCAUUGUCCCUCUAUAAAAAAUUCAUAAUUUUCAUUUUCUUUUAGGAUAAAUAAAAAGAAAAGUUGAAUUUUUUAUUACUUGUGAACUUCUGAGACAUUCAAAUUAAAAAAUUUCCAUCCUCAAAUGAUUCUCUUAUACCUCUGUCGGAGUAGCAAGCAUCUUAUUCAUGUAAACUUUAAUCAUUAUUUUUGAGAUUAAACCAUUUAAGUUAACAUUCACACUCUAACAAAAUUUGUGCACGCAAUACUGAUAUGAACUUGAUAGAAUAGUCUACUCCAGUUUACGUAAAACUUUCUUUGCUUAUCAUGCAUAUGCACUUUAUUUUUAUUUUUUUUUUUCACUCAAAAGAUGAUAAAUGGUAUCUUUUUUUCCCCCUGUCCAAACGUGCACACCCCACCAGAUAAACAAAUAUCUGCUUUGACAAACAUCUUACUGCAUCCAUAAGAUCACGUAUUUCUGUAUCCUUCAAGGUAGAGCCAUAUCUUCUCAAACCAGCUUUUAGUUCAUCAAAAGUGAUUGCACCACUGUUAUCAGUA